GCCAGGCUUGGUGGCUCAUGCCUGUCAUCCCAGCAGCUCUGGGAGGCUGAGACAGGAGGAUCAUGAGUUCAAAGCCAGCCUCAGCAAUGGCGAGAUGCUAAGCAACUCAGUGAGACCCUGUCUCUA
This 126-nucleotide small RNA is filed under the name Marmota monax (woodchuck). The record is from RNAcentral. Lineage: Eukaryota; Metazoa; Chordata; Mammalia; Rodentia; Sciuridae.